This 506-nucleotide ribosomal RNA is filed under the name uncultured bacterium. RNAcentral's name for it is "partial 16S ribosomal RNA". It matches the Rfam family "Bacterial small subunit ribosomal RNA", at positions 29 to 523 of the family's 1533-position model. The record is from RNAcentral.
AGUGAACGCUGGCGGUAGGCCUAACACAUGCAAGUCGAACGGCAGCACAGAGGAGCUUGCUCCUUGGGUGGCGAGUGGCGGACGGGUGAGGAAUACAUCGGAAUCUACUCUGUCGUGGGGGAUAACGUAGGGAAACUUACGCUAAUACCGCAUACGACCUACGGGUGAAAGCAGGGGACCUUCGGGCCUUGCGCGAUUGAAUGAGCCGAUGUCGGAUUAGCUAGUUGGCGGGGGAAAGGCCCACCAAGGCGACGAACCGUAGCGGGGCUGAUAGGAUGAUCAGCCACACUGGAACUGAGACACGGUCCAGACUCCUACGGGAGGCAGCAGUGGGGAAUAUUGGACAAUGGGCGCAAGCCUGAUCCAGCCAUACCGCGUGGGUGAAGAAGGCCUUCGGGUUGUAAAGCCCUUUUGUUGGGAAAGAAAUCCAGCUGGCUAAUACCCGGUUGGGAUGACGGUACCCAAAGAAUAAGCACCGGCUAACUUCGUGCCAGCCGCCGCAGUAA